This 589-nucleotide long non-coding RNA is filed under the name Fukomys damarensis (Damara mole-rat). RNAcentral describes it as "lncRNA (ENSFDAG00000024154.1)". Lineage: Eukaryota; Metazoa; Chordata; Mammalia; Rodentia; Bathyergidae. The record is from RNAcentral.
UGGUUUUGACAUCUGGAAAAGUGAAAAAGGACUCUUUUCCCUAUUUGCAGAGUGGCUGCUGUACCCUCAGGCAAGCCUACAGCAUUUAAGGGCCACCAGAGAAUGCUCACAGCUGUCCUGGUCUCCAAGACUCUCCCAUGCCCACCUGCUCCACUGAUUCAGAUGCCUAAGUCAGAGCAGCGGUACCUUUGUAUUGGAUUCACUAUUGGGCUUCCCACACCCUUGAGGAAGAAACUUCUCUUGAAGGAGACCUGUGUGCCAGGGGCAAUCAGGAACAUUUGCUGAGCAUUUCUGAUGAAUCCGCAUUUUUGCUAAGCUCUCAGAAAUAAAAAAAUACAGCUGAAUGAAGAAGGCUCUACUUCCUGUUCCAGGAUUCUUACAGCUUGACUGGAAAAUGAGGGGGACUGGCUGCAGAAGGCCGCCGAGCUGGCCAGAAGCACAGUGCCCACGGUGUGGACAGCAGGAAGUGGUGCCUGUAGCAGCUCAAAACCUAUCCAUAAAGACAGAGUUUGGUCUCAUACAAGUGAAGAUUCCUGAUUUUUUUGUUUCUGAUAGCUCCACUUCUGGAUUUAUUAAAACUUUAAGAUGA